Long non-coding RNA from Drosophila obscura, 267 nucleotides. RefSeq lists it as uncharacterized. The transcript is spliced from 2 exons. NCBI's taxonomy places the organism in Eukaryota, Metazoa, Arthropoda, Insecta, Diptera, Drosophilidae. The record is from RefSeq and is a predicted model, not a curated record.
CAAUAAAUUUUGUACAAGUUUGGCUACUUUUCAGAACUCUUUUUUUAUUGGAUUUGUUUAUAAAAUAUAAUUUAAGCAAAAAAGGUCAAACAAAAUAUCCAAAAUUCUACAUAGUAACUAUACAUUUGAUACAUGGAAACUACACAGGGAUGUAAACGUAAGAAACACCAUAGAACUGUAAACCAAGGGUUUUUAAAAUGUGCAUUGUCCGCAUAUGGCUGGAGUUUGCAUACAUCCAACGGAUCUUUAUACGUUUUACUCGGCAAG